ACAUGGAAACCAGGAAGCUUCUCUUAGCGGAGGCUGAGGUGCCAACCUCGGGGGUCCGGGGCUUGUCUGCUGGAGGCCGAGAGGGGGGCCGGCCUUUGUCCUGCACGGGAAGCAGCAGGUCCUGGCACAGAAACGUGCCCCCAAACGUAACCAUGUCAUCACAAUGGGCCCAUCAGACAUAGUUUACAAGAACGGUAUUUUUUUUUUUAACACAAAAGGAGUUUGGUUCUCUCUAAAAACCGAUGGCCCCUCCCUGAGCUUGACACAAGUGAGAAGCAGCUAGAGUCAGUGGGUGACGGGAGCAGGGAACACACUGACGCCCUUGGGUGGGGUCACAGGGCGUCCCAGCGGGCAGAGCCAACCUGGCCUUCUACAUCUGUGGAUCUGGUGGGUCUUGAAACCCUGUCGGGCAUCAGAUAGACGGUCAGGAGUCCCCACCUGGAUCAGCAAGUGCUCACUGCCAGAAAGUUCCACCUGCAGUCCCCCUGCCUUGCUCGACUCUGUGUACCUGACCUCCUGCAGACUGUGGACGGUCACUCACCCCUGAGCGAGAAUGAGAGGACCAGGCCUCGCUGGCUGCGGGGACUCAGCAGGGCUGGAGGAAAGGUGUGGAGAAGGGCAGGAGGAGGUGGAGACACGAGGACCCCGUAUUUUUCCCUCACAUUAAAAGGUCUGUUUUCAGUGAGUUGAAAACAGAUCAAGCUUGACUGCUGGAAUUUCUUCUUGGCUGAAAAAUAAAAGACGUCA
Long non-coding RNA from Mustela erminea (ermine), 747 nucleotides. RefSeq lists it as uncharacterized. The record is from RefSeq and is a predicted model, not a curated record. NCBI's taxonomy places the organism in Eukaryota, Metazoa, Chordata, Mammalia, Carnivora, Mustelidae. The transcript is spliced from 3 exons.